UUAAGCGACUAAGCGUACACGGUGGAUGCCCUGGCAGUCAGAGGCGAUGAAGGACGUGCUAAUCUGCGAUAAGCGUCGGUAAGGUGAUAUGAACCGUUAUAACCGGCGAUUUCCGAAUGGGGAAACCCAGUGUGAUUCGUCACACUAUCAUUAACUGAAUCCAUAGGUUAAUGAGGCGAACCGGGGGAACUGAAACAUCUAAGUACCCCGAGGAAAAGAAAUCAACCGAGAUUCCCCCAGUAGCGGCGAGCGAACGGGGAGGAGCCCAGAGCCUGAAUCAGUAUGUGUGUUAGUGGAAGCGUCUGGAAAGGCGUGCGAUACAGGGUGACAGCCCCGUACACAAAAAUGCACAUGCUGUGAGCUCGAUGAGUAGGGCGGGACACGUGGUAUCCUGUCUGAAUAUGGGGGGACCAUCCUCCAAGGCUAAAUACUCCUGACUGACCGAUAGUGAACCAGUACCGUGAGGGAAAGGCGAAAAGAACCCCGGCGAGGGGAGUGAAAAAGAACCUGAAACCGUGUACGUACAAGCAGUGGGAGCCUCUUUAAUGGGGUGACUGCGUACCUUUUGUAUAAUGGGUCAGCGACUUAUAUUCUGUAGCAAGGUUAACCGAAUAGGGGAGCCGAAGGGAAACCGAGUCUUAACUGGGCGUUAAGUUGCAGGGUAUAGACCCGAAACCCGGUGAUCUAGCCAUGGGCAGGUUGAAGGUUGGGUAACACUAACUGGAGGACCGAACCGACUAAUGUUGAAAAAUUAGCGGAUGACUUGUGGCUGGGGGUGAAAGGCCAAUCAAACCGGGAGAUAGCUGGUUCUCCCCGAAAGCUAUUUAGGUAGCGCCUCGUGAAUUCAUCUCCGGGGGUAGAGCACUGUUUCGGCAAGGGGGUCAUCCCGACUUACCAACCCGAUGCAAACUGCGAAUACCGGAGAAUGUUAUCACGGGAGACACACGGCGGGUGCUAACGUCCGUCGUGAAGAGGGAAACAACCCAGACCGCCAGCUAAGGUCCCAAAGUCAUGGUUAAGUGGGAAACGAUGUGGGAAGGCCCAGACAGCCAGGAUGUUGGCUUAGAAGCAGCCAUCAUUUAAAGAAAGCGUAAUAGCUCACUGGUCGAGUCGGCCUGCGCGGAAGAUGUAACGGGGCUAAACCAUGCACCGAAGCUGCGGCAGCGACACUAUGUGUUGUUGGGUAGGGGAGCGUUCUGUAAGCCGUUGAAGGUGUGCUGUGAGGCAUGCUGGAGGUAUCAGAAGUGCGAAUGCUGACAUAAGUAACGAUAAAGCGGGUGAAAAGCCCGCUCGCCGGAAGACCAAGGGUUCCUGUCCAACGUUAAUCGGGGCAGGGUGAGUCGACCCCUAAGGCGAGGCCGAAAGGCGUAGUCGAUGGGAAACAGGUUAAUAUUCCUGUACUUGGUGUUACUGCGAAGGGGGGACGGAGAAGGCUAUGUUGGCCGGGCGACGGUUGUCCCGGUUUAAGCGUGUAGGCUGAUUUUCCAGGCAAAUCCGGAGAAUCAAGGCUGAGGCGUGAUGACGAGGCACUACGGUGCUGAAGCAACAAAUGCCCUGCUUCCAGGAAAAGCCUCUAAGCAUCAGGUAACAUCAAAUCGUACCCCAAACCGACACAGGUGGUCAGGUAGAGAAUACCAAGGCGCUUGAGAGAACUCGGGUGAAGGAACUAGGCAAAAUGGUGCCGUAACUUCGGGAGAAGGCACGCUGAUAUGUAGGUGAAGCGACUUGCUCGUGGAGCUGAAAUCAGUCGAAGAUACCAGCUGGCUGCAACUGUUUAUUAAAAACACAGCACUGUGCAAACACGAAAGUGGACGUAUACGGUGUGACGCCUGCCCGGUGCCGGAAGGUUAAUUGAUGGGGUCAGCCGCAAGGCGAAGCUCUUGAUCGAAGCCCCGGUAAACGGCGGCCGUAACUAUAACGGUCCUAAGGUAGCGAAAUUCCUUGUCGGGUAAGUUCCGACCUGCACGAAUGGCGUAAUGAUGGCCAGGCUGUCUCCACCCGAGACUCAGUGAAAUUGAACUCGCUGUGAAGAUGCAGUGUACCCGCGGCAAGACGGAAAGACCCCGUGAACCUUUACUAUAGCUUGACACUGAACAUUGAGCCUUGAUGUGUAGGAUAGGUGGGAGGCUUUGAAGUGUGGACGCCAGUCUGCAUGGAGCCGACCUUGAAAUACCACCCUUUAAUGUUUGAUGUUCUAACGUGGACCCGUGAACCGGGUUGCGGACAGUGUCUGGUGGGUAGUUUGACUGGGGCGGUCUCCUCCUAAAGAGUAACGGAGGAGCACGAAGGUUGGCUAAUCCUGGUCGGACAUCAGGAGGUUAGUGCAAUGGCAUAAGCCAGCUUGACUGCGAGCGUGACGGCGCGAGCAGGUGCGAAAGCAGGUCAUAGUGAUCCGGUGGUUCUGAAUGGAAGGGCCAUCGCUCAACGGAUAAAAGGUACUCCGGGGAUAACAGGCUGAUACCGCCCAAGAGUUCAUAUCGACGGCGGUGUUUGGCACCUCGAUGUCGGCUCAUCACAUCCUGGGGCUGAAGUAGGUCCCAAGGGUAUGGCUGUUCGCCAUUUAAAGUGGUACGCGAGCUGGGUUUAGAACGUCGUGAGACAGUUCGGUCCCUAUCUGCCGUGGGCGCUGGAGAACUGAGGGGGGCUGCUCCUAGUACGAGAGGACCGGAGUGGACGCAUCACUGGUGUUCGGGUUGUCAUGCCAAUGGCACUGCCCGGUAGCUAAAUGCGGAAGAGAUAAGUGCUGAAAGCAUCUAAGCACGAAACUUGCCCCGAGAUGAGUUCUCCCUGAGACUUUAAGUCUCCUGAAGGAACGUUGAAGACGACGACGUUGAUAGGCCGGGUGUGUAAGCGCAGCGAUGCGUUGAGCUAACCGGUACUAAUGAACCGUGAGGCUUAACCUU
Molecule: ribosomal RNA, 2903 nt
Filed under: Escherichia sp. KTE52
Lineage: Bacteria; Pseudomonadati; Pseudomonadota; Gammaproteobacteria; Enterobacterales; Enterobacteriaceae
Also listed under: 1 other name
Description: bacterial LSU rRNA
Rfam family: Bacterial large subunit ribosomal RNA
Source: RNAcentral